GUCGACUCAGCGCUCGGACAGGAUCAGCUAAGAUCAAGGGUAGUAUCUAUUCUUAUCAGUUUAAUAUCUGAUACGUGGACCAUUGGUUCACUAUGAUAUUAAAUUAAUUUUUGUUUUGGGAGGGAUCAUUAUAGUAGCUUGCUAUUGGAUCAUUGACGUGCCAUUCCUGUGUUGCACUAUCGCAAUGGUUUGGCGGACCCGAC
This is a small nuclear RNA of Zingiber officinale, 203 nucleotides long. RefSeq annotates it as U2 spliceosomal RNA. The transcript has a single exon. The record is from RefSeq and is a predicted model, not a curated record. NCBI's taxonomy places the organism in Eukaryota, Viridiplantae, Streptophyta, Magnoliopsida, Zingiberales, Zingiberaceae.